This 23-nucleotide non-coding RNA is filed under the name Arabidopsis thaliana (thale cress). The record is from RNAcentral. Lineage: Eukaryota; Viridiplantae; Streptophyta; Magnoliopsida; Brassicales; Brassicaceae.
UGGCACUUAUGUUGAUCGGAAGG